UGUAGUUAUGAAUUUGAACUGCAGUACCCAUUUUAAACACUAGGUGUCAGAGUUACACAUUGCUCGUAGAUCCUACCGAUUGUCUUUAUAAUUACUGGUGUCAAACUGUAAAGAAAUGUAUUUAUUUCUCAGGGAUACAAGCAGAAAAAAAUACAAACAUACAUAGAAAACAAGUUACAGAGGAGCUCCACACAUUUGCCCCCGUGACUUUAAAAGGUGUUUUCAAUUCAUGAGAUAAAACGAUACCGUUUCUUUUAUGCAGGCCCCUGUUUUAGCUAGUCAAGCUAAUAUAACACAUCAUGAGGGUGACGUUUUUCUUCUCUGUUCAUGUGCAGUAGUAAAGAGGCAGGUGAUAAAGCUGAGGAUGAAGCCAGAGAACUCCUCUAUGGAUCUAAAUGACCCUGCUGUCAAAGCAGACAUCCUGAACAAGCUCCAGGACCGGCUGAAGAAGAAUGGACUGAGUGGAGUCACCCUGAAGUGGAGAGAGCAGCCUGAUGGGAAAGUUUUCCACAAGGAGAGGAAAAUGUCUAAGAAGAAGAAAAAAAGAGAAAAGACUGAACUGUGAAAGUGAAAUAUAGCUGUAUAGUCUAUCUGUAAUUAGAGAUGGGACAGAUCUGAUCUAAUAUCCGUAACUAUAACUCAAGACCUACCUUUUUGGUCUGGCUUUUAACUGAAUCUCAUGUUAUCUCAUUUAGUUUUAUCUAUUAACAUAUUAUAUAUGAUAGUUUUUCAUUCUUUUAUUGUGUUGCUUUUGGCGUUUUAUUUUAUAACUUAUUACAUUUAUCUCUAGACUUGUGUGGCACAUUGCUGUGCUAUAAUUGUUUUUAGAUUUCUUCAUCCGUCUCUAUCACUUUUUCUAUAUUAUACAGCCGCCUCUAUUAUAUCGUUCUCUCCUUGUUUUACAUGUCAUUAUGACAGUUUCUCCUGAUGUUUAGAGUCAUGUAAUUCAAGUUGUUAUGGUAAUCCUCCAGUCACUACAGGCUUUUUCCUGUUGGAGUUGUGUAUUCAUGUAUUUUUAUGUAUUUGGAUUAUCUAUCCAUAGGUAUGUGGACCUUCAAUAAGAAUGUCUUGCAUAGUUUAUAUUAUAUAUUUUUCCUGGUUUUGUAUGACACGACCUGUCAGGUGACCUCAGGGGUUGUAUAUGUGGUGUGUCUAUUCACUUGUUCAUGUCUGAUGAAGGGCGAGGGCCGAAUCAUUACAUGAGGUGAUAUUUCCAUUAAAUUUCAUUUCAUUAGAGCA
Molecule: long non-coding RNA, 1239 nt
Organism: Labrus mixtus (cuckoo wrasse)
Lineage: Eukaryota; Metazoa; Chordata; Actinopteri; Labriformes; Labridae
Exons: 2
Source: RefSeq, a predicted model, not a curated record